This 22-nucleotide small nuclear RNA is filed under the name Arabidopsis thaliana (thale cress). RNAcentral describes it as "snRNA_13157". The record is from RNAcentral. Lineage: Eukaryota; Viridiplantae; Streptophyta; Magnoliopsida; Brassicales; Brassicaceae.
AUCUUUAAGCAUCGUUUAAAAC